GAUGAACGCUGGCGGCGUGCCUAAUACAUGCAAGUCGAGCGAACGGACGAGAAGCUUGCUUCUCUGAUGUUAGCGGCGGACGGGUGAGUAACACGUGGAUAACCUACCUAUAAGACUGGGAUAACUUCGGGAAACCGGAGCUAAUACCGGAUAAUAUUUUGAACCGCAUGGUUCAAAAGUGAAAGACGGUCUUGCUGUCACUUAUAGAUGGAUCCGCGCUGCAUUAGCUAGUUGGUAAGGUAACGGCUUACCAAGGCAACGAUGCAUAGCCGACCUGAGAGGGUGAUCGGCCACACUGGAACUGAGACACGGUCCAGACUCCUACGGGAGGCAGCAGUAGGGAAUCUUCCGCAAUGGGCGAAAGCCUGACGGAGCAACGCCGCGUGAGUGAUGAAGGCCUUCGGAUCGUAAAACUCUGUUAUUAGGGAAGAACAUAUGUGUAAGUAACUGUGCACAUCUUGACGGUACCUAAUCAGAAAGCCACGGCUAACUACGUGCCAGCAGCCGCGGUAAUACGUAGGUGGCAAGCGUUAUCCGGAAUUAUUGGGCGUAAAGCGCGCGUAGGCGGUUUUUUAAGUCUGAUGUGAAAGCCCACGGCUCUUUUGUGGAGGGUCAUUGGAAACUGGAAAACUUGAGUGCAGAAGAGGAAAGUGGAAUUCCAUGUGUAGCGGUGAAAUGCGCAGAGAUAUGGAGGAACACCAGUGGCGAAGGCGACUUUCUGGUCUGUAACUGACGCUGAUGUGCGAAAGCGUGGGGAUCAAACAGGAUUAGAUACCCUGGUAGUCCACGCCGUAAACGAUGAGUGCUAAGUGUUAGGGGGUUUCCGCCCCUUAGUGCUGCAGCUAACGCAUUAAGCACUCCGCCUGGGGAGUACGACCGCAAGGUUGAAACUCAAAGGAAUUGACGGGGACCCGCACAAGCGGUGGAGCAUGUGGUUUAAUUCGAAGCAACGCGAAGAACCUUACCAAAUCUUGACAUCCUUUGACAACUCUAGAGAUAGAGCCUUCCCCUUCGGGGGACAAAGUGACAGGUGGUGCAUGGUUGUCGUCAGCUCGUGUCGUGAGAUGUUGGGUUAAGUCCCGCAACGAGCGCAACCCUUAAGCUUAGUUGCCAUCAUUAAGUUGGGCACUCUAAGUUGACUGCCGGUGACAAACCGGAGGAAGGUGGGGAUGACGUCAAAUCAUCAUGCCCCUUAUGAUUUGGGCUACACACGUGCUACAAUGGACAAUACAAAGGGCAGCGAAACCGCGAGGUCAAGCAAAUCCCAUAAAGUUGUUCUCAGUUCGGAUUGUAGUCUGCAACUCGACUACAUGAAGCUGGAAUCGCUAGUAAUCGUAGAUCAGCAUGCUACGGUGAAUACGUUCCCGGGUCU
Molecule: ribosomal RNA, 1372 nt
Filed under: uncultured bacterium
Lineage: Bacteria
Description: bacterial SSU rRNA
Rfam family: Bacterial small subunit ribosomal RNA
Source: RNAcentral